RNAcentral lists this ribosomal RNA (506 nucleotides) under uncultured bacterium. RNAcentral describes it as "bacterial SSU rRNA". It matches the Rfam family "Bacterial small subunit ribosomal RNA", at positions 791 to 1296 of the family's 1533-position model. The record is from RNAcentral.
UAGUCCACGCCGUAAACGAUGUCUACUUGGAGGUUGUGGCCUUGAGCCGUGGCUUUCGGAGCUAACACGUUAAGUAGACCGCCUGGGGAGUACGGUCGCAAGAUUAAAACUCAAAUGAAUUGACGGGGGCCCGCACAAGCGGUGGAGCAUGUGGUUUAAUUCGAUGCAACGCGAAGAACCUUACCUACUCUUGACAUCCAGAGAAGCCAGCGGAGACGCAGGUGUGCCUUCGGGAGCUCUGAGACAGGUGCUGCAUGGCUGUCGUCAGCUCGUGUUGUGAAAUGUUGGGUUAAGUCCCGCAACGAGCGCAACCCUUAUCCUUGUUUGCCAGCGAGUAAUGUCGGGAACUCCAGGGAGACUGCCGGUGAUAAACCGGAGGAAGGUGGGGACGACGUCAAGUCAUCAUGGCCCUUACGAGUAGGGCUACACACGUGCUACAAUGGCGCAUACAGCGGGAAGCGAAGUCGCGAGAUGGAGCUAAUCCCCUAAAGUGCAUCCCAGUUCGG